CCCAGACUCCUACGGGAGGCAGCAGCGAGGAAUAUUGGUCAAUGGGCGGGAGCCUGAACCAGCCAUGCCGCGUGAAGGCGAGUGCCCUACGGGCGUUAAACUUCUUUUGUGCGGGAGCAAUAAGGGCCACGCGUGGCCCGAUGAGAGUACCGCACGAAUAAGCAUCGGCUAACUCCGUGCCAGCAGCCGCGGUAAUACGGGGGAUGCGAGCGUUAUCCGGAUUUAUUGGGUUUAAAGGGUGCGUAGGCGGCGCUUCAGGUCAGCGGUGAAAUACCGGGGCUCAACCCCGGGGCUGCCGUUGAAACCGGAGCGCUAGAAUUCCGAUGCCGUCGGAGGAAUGUGUGGUGUAGCGGUGAAAUGCUUAGAUAUCGCGCAGAACCCCGAUUGCGAAGGCAGCGUACCGGCUCCACACUGACGCUGAGGCACGAAAGCGUGGGUAUCGAACAGGAUUAGAUACCCUGGUACU
RNAcentral lists this ribosomal RNA (466 nucleotides) under uncultured bacterium. RNAcentral describes it as "partial 16S ribosomal RNA". It matches the Rfam family "Bacterial small subunit ribosomal RNA", at positions 330 to 794 of the family's 1533-position model. The record is from RNAcentral.